AGCGAACGCUGGCGGCAGGCUUAACACAUGCAAGUCGAGCGGGCGUAGCAAUACGUCAGCGGCAGACGGGUGAGUAACGCGUGGGAACGUACCUUUUGGUUCGGAACAACACAGGGAAACUUGUGCUAAUACCGGAUAAGCCCUUACGGGGAAAGAUUUAUCGCCGAAAGAUCGGCCCGCGUCUGAUUAGCUAGUUGGUAGGGUAAUGGCCUACCAAGGCGACGAUCAGUAGCUGGUCUGAGAGGAUGAUCAGCCACAUUGGGACUGAGACACGGCCCAAACUCCUACGGGAGGCAGCAGUGGGGAAUAUUGGACAAUGGGGGCAACCCUGAUCCAGCCAUGCCGCGUGAGUGAUGAAGGCCCUAGGGUUGUAAAGCUCUUUUGUGCGGGAAGAUAAUGACGGUACCGCAAGAAUAAGCCCCGGCUAACUUCGUGCCAGCAGCCGCAGUAA
Molecule: ribosomal RNA, 451 nt
Filed under: uncultured bacterium
Lineage: Bacteria
Description: partial 16S ribosomal RNA
Rfam family: Bacterial small subunit ribosomal RNA
Source: RNAcentral